GGAGUGAUAAGGAAGCCCUGUUAUUUUUGUUCCUUUCAGUGUUUGCAUUGUUGGGCGGGUGGCACUAAUGAGCGUUCUCUCAUAGAGCCGACUUUGUUUCGGCCGUGGAUAUUCCCCGUGUGGAUAGAUGAAUAUCUGGGCUGCUGGCGUUGGGUGCCUCGCGGGACUGAGUUACAGCCGUGUGCAUGCUGCUGUCGAGGCUGCUGGGUGCCACAGUUAUCUAAGAGGUUAACACUCCCCGGCGCGUUUCUCCUCCCACUCCUGCUGUUCUGGAUAUCGGUAUAAAACUUUGCUGUGUAUUGAUACAGUGUCUGGAUAUAUAUCUGCCCUGGAUGCACAGAACUGGUUUGGAGUGAUACGUUCUAAGUGUUUGAAUAUCCAGACAUUGUCUCUGUAAAUAUUGGUAUUAACUGGAUGUAUACUGCAUGUGGGUUUGUUUUUUUUCUUUGUUUGAUUUUGAUCCUUUAAUUACGCAUGUGGGUUUGUUGAUUUGAUUGGUGUUUGUGUUUUUUUUCUCUAAUACGCAUUACAUAUGUUUUUAAUAUGACAAAAGAAUAAAAUUGUAUAUUUUUUUUAUAAUUA
This is a long non-coding RNA of Micropterus salmoides (largemouth bass), 582 nucleotides long. RefSeq lists it as uncharacterized. NCBI's taxonomy places the organism in Eukaryota, Metazoa, Chordata, Actinopteri, Centrarchiformes, Centrarchidae. The record is from RefSeq and is a predicted model, not a curated record. The transcript has 2 exons.